Molecule: ribosomal RNA, 496 nt
Filed under: uncultured bacterium
Lineage: Bacteria
Description: partial 16S ribosomal RNA
Rfam family: Bacterial small subunit ribosomal RNA
Source: RNAcentral
GAUGAACGCUGGCGGCGUGCCUAAUACAUGCAAGUCGAGCGAACAGAUGAGGAGCUUGCUCCUCUGACGUUAGCGGCGGACGGGUGAGUAACACGUGGAUAACCUACCUAUAAGGCUGGGAUAACUUCGGGAAACCGGAGCUAUACCGGAUAAUAUAUUGAACCGCAUGGUUCAAUAGUGAAAGACGGUUUUGCUGUCACUUAUAGAUGGAUCCGCGCCGCAUUAGCUAGUUGGUAAGGUAACGGCUUACCAAGGCAACGAUGCGUAGCCGACCUGAGAGGGUGAUCGGCCACACUGGAACUGAGACACGGUCCAGACUCCUACGGGAGGCAGCAGUAGGGAAUCUUCCGCAAUGGGCGAAAGCCUGACGGAGCAACGCCGCGUGAGUGAUGAAGGUCUUCGGAUCGUAAAACUCUGUUAUUAGGGAAGAACAAAUGUGUAAGUAACUAUGCACGUCUUGACGGUACCUAAUCAGAAAGCCACGGCUAACUACGUG